Molecule: ribosomal RNA, 2049 nt
Filed under: Haemoproteus balmorali
Lineage: Eukaryota; Apicomplexa; Aconoidasida; Haemosporida; Haemoproteidae
Description: SSU rRNA
Rfam family: Eukaryotic small subunit ribosomal RNA
Source: RNAcentral
UUGUCUAAAGGAUUAAGCCAUGCAUGCGAAAGUAUAGGUUUUUUUAUGAAAUCGAAACUGCGAACGGCUCCUUAAAACAGUUAUAAUCUACUUGGAAUUUUUUUAUAGGGAUACCUACGGAAACGCUGUAGCUAAUACUUGUUGCCAUGCAUUUAUUGUGUGGCGUACUCGUUGGCUUUAGCGGUAUCGUGUAUUAAACCUGUGGAAUCACAACGAAGAAGUGACGCGUCUAUCUUUAAUAGAUGGUUAGCGCGUACCAAUCGAGUUUCUGAUCUAUCAGCUAUUCACGAAGGUAUUGUCUUGGUGAGGCUAUGACGGAUAACGGGGAAUUAGAGUUCGAUUCCGGAGAGGGCGCCUGAGAGAUGGCGACUAUAACUACGGUUAGCAGCAGGCGCGAAAAUUGCCCAAUGCCGACAAGGCGAGGCAGCGACCAGACAUACUGGUCUUCAGCCAUUAUAAUGGUUGAGGAACUGGAUUCGGCUCUCUUUAAAAGUGAGGGCGAGCGGAAGUUUAGAUCAAGUUGAAGUGCCAGCAUUCGCGGUAAUACUUCCUCAAACGAAUGUAUGUUAAAGUUGUUGCGGUUAAAACGCUCGUAGUUGAUUAUCUUCCACAGGCUGCUGUCCGGUUGCAUAUGAAGAAGUGCGUUUCUUUUAGAGAUGCGCUUUUUCUUAAUUGCGUACCAGACCACUGUGGCAUGACAUUGAUCUUUUCAAUUUUUGAUUGGAUCUGUCGUUACCUUGAGUAAAUUAGAGUGUUCAAAGCGGGCUUUUUCCGUUUGAAUAUCCCAGCAUGGAAUAACUGCAUUGCGCCUAGUUUAUAUAGUUGGCACGAGUGGCCGCGUAAACUGGGUGCCGAUUAAUAGGAGCAGUUGGGGGCAUCCGUACUCCGAAGCUAGAGGUGAAAUUCUGUGACUUUCGGAAGACGCUCGACUGCGAAGGCACUUGCCCAAAAUGCGUCCAUUAAUCAAGAGCGAAGUUAUGGGCAUCGAAAAAGAUCAGAGACCUUUGUAAUCCAUAAAGUAAACUAUGCCAUCCGGGGCGGAGCAGGCCACUCAGACGUGUUACAAAAUAAUAUGAGUUGUAUAUGUUCUUGUUUUUUUUUCUUGUAGUUUAGUUUCGGCUAAAUUGCGAGAGAGGGAAAUAUCCAUAUGCGUACUUAUAUAUAAUUUUUGUACCGUCGCAUGGGGUCUGUUCUGCCCCUGUGAGAAAUCUGAGAUUUUGGGUUCCGGGGCGAGUAUAAGCGCAAGCUAGAAAGUUAAAAGAAUUGACGGAGGGGCACCACAAAGCGUGGAGCUUGCGGCUUAAUUUGACUCAACACGGGAAACCUCACUAGUGUAAGACAGCGGUAGGAUUGACAGGUUUGCAGACCUUUCAUGAUUCGCUGGCGGGUGAUGCAUGGCCGUUCCUAGCUCUUGGCGUGGGCUGUCUGGUUAAUUCCGAUAACGAGCGGGACCUCCCCUUCCGUUUGUGCGGUCGCCAUUCCAUAAAAGGGAAGUAAUUUUUUGUGUAGGCUCUUGUUUUUUCUAGGGAAAGAAAUUUUUGCAUACUUCUGUGUGUAAAGGUUUUUUUUCUUAGUUAUAAGCAGAGUACCUUUAUCAAUUAAUUCUUUUCUUUUGGCGAUUUAAACUCAAAGCAGUACGGAGGGACGUCGCGUGUUUAACGCGAGGCAGGGAGGCAACAACAGGUCUGUGAUGUCCUCAGAUAUGCUAGGCUGCGCGCGUGCUACACUGGCGCGCACAACGGGCUAUUUUAUAAAAGAAUUCUUUUUUCUUUAGGGUUUCGGCUUUAAAGAUUUAAAGAAUCUUUUCCUCUCUCGAGAGAGCGGGGGAAUCCUGAAUGCGCGCCGUGACGGGGAUCGAAUCUUGCAAUUAGGAUUCUUGAACGAGGAAUGCUUAGUAAGCGCAACUCAUUAGGUUGCGCUGUAUGCGUAACUGCCCUUUGCACACACCGCCCGUCGUUGCUUUUAAUGGAGUGCAAAGUGACUUGUUUGGAGUGUACAAUCGGUACUCGACUGUCGCGAAGUACUGGAAACUUUGUACUCUAGAGAAAG